CCUGCGGAAGGAUCAUUAUCGAAAAGAAAAGACUGUUGCUGGCCCCUAGGGGCAUGUGCACGUCGAGCCUUUUACCCACACCUGUGCACCUGUUGUAGAUUUCUAUCUACGUAUUUCACAAUCCACAUGUAUACAAGGAAUGAAUGUUAUAAAGUUAUACAACUUUCAGCAACGGAUCUCUUGGCUCUCGCAUCGAUGAAGAACGCAGCGAAUUGCGAUAAGUAAUGUGAAUUGCAGAUUUUCAGUGAAUCAUCGAAUCUUUGAACGCACCUUGCGCUCCUUGGUAUUCCAAGGAGCAUGCCUGUUUGAGUGUCAUUGAAUUCUCAAGUCAGUAUAUUUUGGCUUGGAGUUGGGGGUUGCUGGUUUCAGCUCUCCUGAAAUACAUACAUAUGUGGCCUUUCGAUGUGAUAAUGAUCAUCGUAGGCACUCUGCGAACUUGACCUCAAAUCAGGUAGGACUACCCGCUGAACUUAAGCAUAUCAAUAAGCGGAGGAAAAGAAACUAACAAGGAUUCCCCUAGUAACUGCGAGUGAAGCGGGAUGAGCUCAAAUUUUGAAUCUGGUAGUGUUUUGACUAUCCGAGUUGUAAUCUAGAGAAGCGUGUUCCGCGCUGG
RNAcentral lists this small RNA (613 nucleotides) under Boletaceae sp. 2 g1-8-2. Its description in RNAcentral is "eukaryotic LSU rRNA". The stretch from base 161 to 315 matches the Rfam family "5.8S ribosomal RNA". Lineage: Eukaryota; Fungi; Basidiomycota; Agaricomycetes; Boletales; Boletaceae. The record is from RNAcentral.